This 647-nucleotide ribosomal RNA is filed under the name uncultured bacterium. Its description in RNAcentral is "bacterial SSU rRNA". It matches the Rfam family "Bacterial small subunit ribosomal RNA", at positions 110 to 753 of the family's 1533-position model. The record is from RNAcentral.
GUAAUACAUCGGAACGUACCCAGUAGCGGGGGAUAGCCCGGCGAAAGCCGGAUUAAUACCGCAUACGCCCUAAGGGGGAAAGGGGGGGAUCGCAAGACCUCUCACUAUUGGAGCGGCCGAUGGCUGAUUAGCUAGUUGGUGGGGUAAAGGCCUACCAAGGCAACGAUCAGUAGCUGGUCUGAGAGGACGACCAGCCACACUGGGACUGAGACACGGCCCAGACUCCUACGGGAGGCAGCAGUGGGGAAUUUUGGACAAUGGGCGAAAGCCUGAUCCAGCAAUGCCGCGUGUGCGAAGAAGGCCUUCGGGUUGUAAAGCACUUUUGUCAGGGAAGAAAUCGUUCGGGCCAAUACCCCGGGCAGUUGACGGUACCUGGAGAAUAAGCACCGGCUAACUACGUGCCAGCAGCCGCGGUAAUACGUAGGGUGCAAGCGUUAAUCGGAAUUACUGGGCGUAAAGCGUGCGCAGGUGGUUCGUUAAGACAGUUGUGAAAUCCCCGGGCUUAACCUGGGAACUGCAAUUGUGACUGGCGGACUAGAGUUUGGCAGAGGGGGGUGGAAUUCCUGGUGUAGCAGUGAAAUGCGUAGAUAUCAGGAGGAACACCGAUGGCGAAGGCAGCCCCCUGGGCCAUGACUGACACUCAUGCA